GUACUGCCGCGGUUCUAAUUGUAACCGAAAAAGUCGCGGAUGUUAUAAUUUCGGGGUGCCGACAAUCGACAAGGGACUCGACGUCCUUUGUUUUCUGCCGCCGAGAAUCGCGUGUACUCUACAUAGGGCCGUGAGGGCCGAUGUCUCGAUGUCACGGUGCCCCGUGGGAGACAAUAAGCAUUUUCUCGAAGAAUCUGACCACGAAGUGAGCAGGCUGACGAACCCUCUGAAGGAACAACACAAUGUAUUAAAAAUCAUAUCGGUCUCCACAAUCCCGUAAUUUAAAUCUCACUAAAAAAAGGAUUGUAUGAAACAAAUGAAAACACAGAAAAGUUUACCUAAAAUGUGAAUCGACAUUUGGAAUUAAUUAAGACUAAAUACGAUAGAAAAAUUAUUAAUACGAUUAACGAAAUUGUCGAUGCCAAAAAGAGGAGAUGUAUGAAGAAAAGGAAAAACGAGGAAUGUCCAUUUUUUGUGUAAUAAUUGGGACUGCGGAACUACUAAAUCAUAAUGAUAAUAAUAUAAUAUGUUAAUUAAAAACAAGGAAUAUCUACUCUGUACUGGAAUAAAACUUGG
RNAcentral lists this unclassified non-coding RNA (576 nucleotides) under Bombus terrestris (buff-tailed bumblebee). RNAcentral describes it as "misc RNA ENSBTSG00005036243.1". Lineage: Eukaryota; Metazoa; Arthropoda; Insecta; Hymenoptera; Apidae. The record is from RNAcentral.